GGAAAAUUACUCAAGUGGUUGAAGAGGAUGGUUUCGAAAACCAUUAGGGUGUAACAGCUGCGGGGGUUCGAAUCCCCCAUUUUCCGCCA
This 89-nucleotide transfer RNA is filed under the name Firmicutes bacterium CAG:313. RNAcentral describes it as "transfer RNA-Ser(CGA)". It matches the Rfam family "tRNA". Rfam says of the family: Transfer RNA (tRNA) molecules are approximately 80 nucleotides in length. Their secondary structure includes four short double-helical elements and three loops (D, anti-codon, and T loops). The record is from RNAcentral. Lineage: Bacteria; Bacillati; Bacillota.